GUUUGAAGGCUAGCUUCAGGCGGGCCUGCUAAUCGCUGUGUUAAUUCUCACAUCGGGGCUUUGUGAGGGUUGCGCAGAUAAAGAGGCGGUGGUCGUCUAGGCGUGGGUGAAUUCUUACCGAAUGGAAGAUAAGAUAAAAAGCUAAAAGACAUGAUGCACCCGUGUACUUUUUGUAUAAUGGCUUAUAGAGUGUGUUGAAAUUUUUUUGUUCCUGAAAAUUUUAGAGCUAUUUUCUUCCCAGGUUAUUGUUGCAGAAAUAUGCUAGAGAUGGAAAUAGGCGUGAUAUGUGAUGCGAAAAGGUUGAUAGCUGGUUAAGAAGAAAAUGUAUUUUAGUACAGCUAGGGUGUAGCUUUAGUUAAGAGAGAUAACUAAAGUUUUCUUUAAGUGAGUUUAAAAGGGUAAGCUUUUUAAAAUUAUGAGGACUCUCAGAAUAAUAUGUAGGAAUAACAUUUUCCAUCUUUUUUGAAUUUAUUACAAAACGAUUAUUUUUUUUUUUUCAUUCAGUACUUCUUUUUAGGCUUAAAUUUCUAGCCUAAAACUAGUAUAAGAUGAGUAGGAAUAUUUUAUUGGUUUAAAUCGUUGACUUAUUAGAACAUUAGUGGGCUUAAUAAGGCUUUCUUUAUUGUAGAUAACAGUGCUCAUGACCUGGGCACAUAUAUUUCUGUGGGGCGACCUAAGCAUGUAUGAUUUAUAGAUUUAUUUUUAAGGAACUCGGCAACUAUGUCCUCCGCCUGUUUAACAAAAACAUGGCUCCUUGCUGUCUAAUUUUAACAUAAGGAGUCGGGCCUGCCCGGUGGCAUUCUGUGCUAAACGGCCGCAAUUUGCAAUUGUGCUAAGGUAGCGCAAUCAAUCGUCCUUUAAUUGGGGAAAGGUAUGAACGGUUUGACGAGGGGGCUACUGUCUCGGGAAUAAGUUCUGAAAUUUUCUUUUCAGUGAAAAGACUUAGAUUUUGUAAUAAGACGAGAAGACCCCGGUGAGCUUGAUUAGUUUUAGUUGUAUAAUUAAUAUGAAGUUUUGUUGGGGCAACAGGAAGGGAAAAAGACUCCUUCCCAGGAGAUAAAGAUCCUCUUUGAGUGAAUUAAGCAAAAGCUACCACGGGGAUAACAGCGUAAUCCCUUUAUAGAGAUCUAAUCGAAGAAGGGGUUUGCGACCUCGAUGUUGGAUUAGGGUUUCAUCCUGGUGCAGGGGCUAGGAGGGAGGGACUGUUCGUCCUUUAAUCCCCUACAUGAUCUGAGUUCAGACCGGCGUGAGCUAGGUCGGUUUCUAUCUAUUGGCUAAUUUUGCUAGUACGAAAGGAAUUUGAAGUUGAGUUAUUGAACUUCCAUCUUUAUUAGACGUGAGGAAUGGUGAUAUUUAGCCCUAUUUUUGUGGUUU
Molecule: ribosomal RNA, 1374 nt
Filed under: Pseudocardium sachalinense (Sakhalin surf clam)
Lineage: Eukaryota; Metazoa; Mollusca; Bivalvia; Venerida; Mactridae
Description: 16S ribosomal RNA
Rfam family: Bacterial large subunit ribosomal RNA
Source: RNAcentral